UUUAUACAUAUAUGCCAGCGACAAUUCCUUUAGAAAUGAUUGAGCUGACGUACGGGACACUGGAAAGGUAUUCAGGCCGUUAGCAACCAAGUUUUGAAACUUAAUAAUUUGAGGAGGAUGCUAUUCACUGUAUUGACUCCUCUAUUGACUUAUAGGGGUUCAUAAUUCGUUUAUUACACCAAGAAUAAUGGAAUUACUUCUGUAUAUAAGUUGUUUCUUUGUUGCUACUGGACUAAUAUAUAUAUUUUUGCUAAUUUGUCAUCACGUCAGCCUAAUUCUUUUUUUGUCCUUCUAAAUAAUAAGGAUGGAUAUAUCUGUCAUCAGACAAUAGAGCAACUCAUGCAAGUAAGUACUCCCUAUCACAAGUGUCAUAUAACAGCUGUUUUUGACAUAAAAAAUUCUAAUGGAAAAUGAAAAUUCCAAGCCAAAAGUAAUAUCAGCUCAAGUGGAAGGAGGAAAAAACUUCAGGAUAACUGAGAAGUGUAUUAUUGUUCAUUAUUAAAAUAGUGAAUAAAAUUGCUUAUCUCCUCGUUUUUUUUUCCUGCGGUUAAAUGAAUGAUUGUUUGAGUUUUACACAAGCCUAUUUUAUUGGAAGUGUUUAAAAGAACUGAUUUUGGAGAGAAAAAAAAUGCAAAAUGGAUAGUGAUUCCUGUAGAAUAACCAAUACUCCACUAUACUCAGAAGAGGCUGAUGAUUUGAAAUGGGUUCCCCUUACACUGACUUUGGUAGAAUACCCGAAAGGUGAUAUUAUAGGAAAGUUCUUGGCUCUCAUAAGCUUAGCCCCGUUUGGCAUCGGUGCCGGAUUUGUGGCUCUGAUAUUAUUUAGAAGAGACCUACAUACUAUAACAUUUUUCUUGGGCACAAUAUGUUCAGAAGCACUCAAUUAUGUUCUUAAACACUUAAUAGCCGAAAAAAGGCCGAUCCAUAGAGAAGAUGUCCAUGUCGAAUAUGGGAUGCCUUCGUCACACUCUCAAUUUGUAUCAUUUUUUGCCACAUAUAUUAUUUAUUUCGUAUUUAUAAGGUUGUAUCAUUUGAACAAUAACACAAUAAUAGAGAAUAUUUCAAAGUUUUUGAUAAUUACAUCGUCCAUGGUGGUAGCAGUGCUAGUGUGUAUCAGUAGGGUAUAUUUACAGUACCACACAUUGUCUCAAGUUCUUUGGGGGAUAAUCGUAGGAUUUUUAUUUGCAACUUUUUGGUUUGCACUGACUUCACUAGUUUUUACCCCGUUGUACCCGCAGAUUGUUACUUGGAGGAUCUCAGAAAUGCUAAUGAUAAGAGACACCACCCUCAUACCGAACGUGUUAUGGUUCGAAUACACGAACACGCGACAAGAGGCGAGGGCCAGAAGUCGAAAACUGGUCAGCCUGAAGUCCCAAUGACAUUUGCUGGACCACAGUUUCAAUUUCGCCCUGCCCCGGGGUGUCAUUAGGUUUCUCAGAAUCCUGCUUCCGUGGCGCAGAAAGAUCUAAGUAACUGCGACGAGUAACUCGACUUGACUGAGAAAAUUGAAACUAUUCCAUAAUGUUAGAAGAAGAAUUAAUUCUUGACCUUCCACGAUCCUUUUGAUCAUUGAUAACAGAAGAACCCCUCUUGUAUAUUUCAGAUCCUUUUCAGCAGUAGAUAGAUACUCAAAAUAAUCACUAAACUCGACAUCUUGAAUUGAAGGAAUGUUUACAUAACUUACUCAGUAGCUGAAUAGAUGGACCUUUUUGGAAUAUUAUGCCAUAAAUUCUUAGAAAUCUGAAUAUACAUUCAUGAUACCCUCUUUGUUACUAUUUAAAAUUACUUAAAUAAAGUAAACAGUGUUUGUUAACUUAAAAUUUUUAAACUAGAGGAGUCAUACGAGUAAGAGAUGCACUAAUUGGCUAAAAAUAAACAGUAAUAAUACAUUUCAACAAUAAUGAAUAAUACUUUACCUGUAUACUGCCCAUUUGUGUUUUCUUUGUUUUGGUAUUAAUAAUUUGUUGAUAUGCGAUGCUUUUAUUUUGUAAAACCUAACCUACUCGAUUAGUGUUUCUCUAGCAUAUAUUUGAAAAAUAAUCAAUCAAUCUUGUUAGACCUUUCUUGAGAGGCUAUUACGCACAAAUAUUAAUAAAAUAAUAGUUGUCGUCUAUUUAUACUAAUUUAUAAGGUUAAUUAAGCUGGUUUUACUUGAGUGAAAUGUUUGAAUAAGUUGAUAUUCUUACCUCUCGAUUCAAUCUUACGUAGGUGGUUCUUCAGCUACUUAAGAAUUCGAUAGUGCUUAGAACUUUUUUUCAAUGAAUUAACAGUGGAAAUCUUCGAAUAAAAUUUAGUAUACAAUAAUAUUCUACUGUAAAAAGUACUUUUCCUUGUCAAUACCACUGGUAAAACAAGCUUAAUACAAACUUCAUAACCCUUUAUUGUUUCCGAUCUCUUUAUAAUAUGAUUAUUUACAAAGCUAGCACAGUUGGCCGUGAAUAAACCUUAAAUAAUAAUAAUUGUUAGUUCAUAUACUCUUUUAACAGAUUAAAACAAUGUCGUAGUAAAUUACGUCUUGUUUAAGCUAAUAUUAAAUUAGUGGUUAAGCUAGACUUACUUACUUUCGGACAGCAAUGCGGUAACAGUGUCAGGUACCGCUGCAAUAGGUUUUAGGCGUAAUAAAAACGUUUGUAUAAUGUAUAAUUUUUUUAAUGUUAAUAAAGUAAGGGAUUUUGGUACUA
This 2681-nucleotide unclassified non-coding RNA is filed under the name Anthonomus grandis grandis. Its description in RNAcentral is "dolichyldiphosphatase 1-like". The record is from RNAcentral. Lineage: Eukaryota; Metazoa; Arthropoda; Insecta; Coleoptera; Curculionidae.